GCAUCGCUGAACGCCGCGUAUCCUCGCCUACCCACGCGCGAAUCCCUUUCGAGAGAUUCGUGCCCUUAUGCGAGGGGGCAAGUCGGAGAAUCGUCCUCGCCCCGCCUGCUCUCACGAGCCUGCCUCUAACUGGCUGCGGUGGCACCAGAAAGCUCGGCUGCUUCCAGUCAGGUCUCUGGCGCGGGAACGGCUUUGGGAGGCUGCCGCGAGGAUCGAAUGCCUUUUAGUGCAUUCUUGAGUGCAAUACGCGGCCGUCGCGGGUUCGAUUCGCACCCGCGACAACUCAAUUCUGCUCGUCUGGGCGAUGC
Molecule: RNase P RNA, 308 nt
Filed under: Neolecta irregularis DAH-3
Lineage: Eukaryota; Fungi; Ascomycota; Neolectomycetes; Neolectales; Neolectaceae
Description: Nuclear RNase P
Rfam family: Nuclear RNase P
About the family: Ribonuclease P (RNase P) is a ubiquitous endoribonuclease, found in archaea, bacteria and eukarya as well as chloroplasts and mitochondria.
Source: Rfam by way of RNAcentral